AACUAAUUUUUCUUUUGCUCUUCUAAAGGCCAUUUGCAAUGAUUCAUAAUUUGCCAGAGGAGAUGGCUCAGUUGGAAAUUAUGUUCAGUUUCUUUAUUCUUAUGCUAAUUCUCUGUCCAUUUGUAAGACGGUUGGUGAUGUUCAGAAUAAUAAGCGAAGUGCAGAAUGAAAUUAAUGGGGCCGAGAUUAGCGGUUUCCUUUCCUUUUCCCUGGGAAGGCGAAUAGGAAGGCGACUUUGUCCCCUCGAUCUGCCGCCGGCCAGGCCGGUGGUUCCUUCCCUCUCCGUCCGCCGCUCCGGCGAUGGGAGAGGGGCGGGAACCCCAGUCCUGUGCUUCCGGUAUGUAGAUAGUAGGGUAGUGGUUCCAGGAGUUGCCGUCAUGGUGGGGGUGGCGGCGUCGGUGUGGAAUAAAGAUGUUGGUGGUUCCCCCUCAUCCCGGCGAAGCCUUUGCCGGAACCGGCGAACUGUCGGCUUUAGGUGCUCUCGGAUCCUUCGAUAUGGUGAGCUUUGGUGCUCCGAGCAAAGCGCUGGAUCUGCCAGCGCAGGUUUGUGGUCACUGGAUCUUUGCAGGUUCUUCUCCUCAACGGCGAAUUGGUAACGGUGACUACAGUAGACUGUUUAAGCAACUAAGCAACUCAAGUCCCAUGGCGAUUACAAAUCAUGAGUGGCUGCUGCACUAUUCUUUAUUUGACGGUCUCUAUGUGGAGGGUUUCAGAACUUUCUCUAGGUGCAGACCGGAUUAGUAGCGGUACACGCUUGCAACUAGCAAAAAUUGCAAGAUGCAGGGUUGCGUUUUCUCUUUCCAAUGCAUGGUAUCUGUUCAGGUGGAUGACCGCUAAUGUAUGUGGGAUAUGGAUGUCUUCAUAUUUGUGGUGGGUACAAGUAAUGUUAAAUUGAAAUUUGAGGCCCUCUUUUCAUUACAACCAGUAGCAAAAUUUAGGUUUUGGUGAGAAGAAAGGUGAACCUAAUGGCUAUAGCACUAUUGAGAAGAAUGUUUCAGUCACUGGAGAAAUUGAGGAACAAAUGAAGUUGAUAGAAGAACAAGCAAUAAAGAUCUAUUAAACAUAUAUAUAUAGAUUGCUUGGCAAUAAAGAUCAACAUAAAAUAGCAUUACUUGUUUUGGGCAUAGCUAAACAUACAAGCUUAAUACUACUGAAAUUCUAAAAUCUAUUUGUAUGUGUUCGAUCAGAAGUAAUGUUUGGUUUUGUUCAUAGGUUGUCCACUGUUUUGUCAUUCCACCUAACUGAAAGAGAUUGUAAUCGGGUCAACAAAUGGCAUACAUUUUUUUCAGGCAGACAAACCUAUUUUGUUGAAAAUCUGAACUUUGUAGUUCAGUAGCUAUUGUGUAGGUGUAUUUCAAUCUUAUGGCUUUUUUUUGCUUGAGAUUCGUAUAUACUGUAAUGAUGUUGAGUUUGUUCACAUUAACCUAUGUUCCUAUUUUGCUGAGCUAUCCACUGAAAUUUGCUUAAUUUCUUCUUGAUUCCUCGUGUUUACUACCACUGUACCACUAGAUUUGAUAUGUUUUUAUUUAGUUCCAUUUAAUAUUGAUUCAACUAUAUUAUGGGUGGCUUUGGCAUUUUUCCCUUACAAUCGUGUGUCUGACGAAUUAUGGGGUGUGCCUCUUUCACACUAAUGUUUGUUGCAAACUAAUCAUGAAAUUCAAUUACUUCAGGUCUUUACUUACAACAUGAUUUACGUCCAAUUCUUUGCUCCUUUUGUUUCAUCACAAAGCAAUGAAGUUUACUAGCAUAACUUCUAGUACUAUUAAGAAAAUCCAUAUUGAAGGGACUUAAGAUACUUCUAUGUUUAAUUUUGAUGAUAAUGUCGUAAAUAGUUGCUAGACACAGACUAGUUCAAUACGGCGACUCCCACCAUUGAAGCUGGCACAGUUCGAUAAAAGACAUGGUUAGUGAGCAUUUUUAACAAUAGUUACAGAAUUUGGCUUUUUGUCUUGUUUCUCACUAUACUUUUGAUUCACCUGCAGCUAGCAUGUUAUGGUUUCAUGUGAUUGUGAUGAAUUUGGUACAUCCAAAGUCCCACUGUGAUAUCUUUGAUUUUGACAUUAUAUUAUUUUUAGUUCAGGGCAGUGAAGCCUAUUACUCCCUCCGUUCGGAAUUACUUGUUGCAAAAAUGGAUGUAUCUAGACAUAUUUUAGUUCUAAAUACAUCCAUUUCCGGGACAAGUAAUUCCGAACGGAGGGAGUAGUCCUGAAGUGUUAUAUGUGCUUCUGUGAUGGUGGCCACUACCUGUUUGUUGGUAUACUUUCAAGAAUUGAAAAUAUUCUGUUUCAGUAUCUGUUCAAGUGGAUGACGGUUAAUGUACGAGGGAUAGAGAGUCGUGUCUUCAUAUUUAUGAUCGGUAAUUGUAAUGUGCAAUUGAAAUUCAAAACUUCGUUUACUAAUAACCAGUAGCAAAGUUCAGGUUUUGUGAGAAGAAAAGUGAACCAAAGGCUAUAGUACUAUUAAUAGGAUACUGUGUUGCUUCCAGCCCAUGGAUAAGAAUGUUUCAGUCUCUGCAGAGAUAGCUGAACAGAUGAAGUUGGCGUAAAAUCUAUGGUCACCUACUGCUUGAAGAUCAAGUUCGACAGUAUUCAGUUUGCAAAUUCGGUAGCAUUCAAUUUUGUAAUAGAGAUUUCUGAAAAAUAAUAAUCAUGCCGCUGGUUACUUAGUGCUCAGUGGCAUUCAGUUACGUCUAAACGAAUUUUAUUUGUAAGCUUAAGAUGGCUUU
Molecule: long non-coding RNA, 2725 nt
Organism: Triticum urartu
Lineage: Eukaryota; Viridiplantae; Streptophyta; Magnoliopsida; Poales; Poaceae
Source: RefSeq, a predicted model, not a curated record